GACAAACGCUGGCGGCAUGCCUAACACAUGCAAGUCGAACGGACAGAACAGGGAAGCUUUUCGGAGUGGAACUGGAAAGUUAGUGGCGGAUGGGUGAGUAACGCGUGGACAACCUACCUUGUAAAGGGGAAUAACCUCGAGAAAUCGAAGCUAAUACCCCAUAAUAACCUUGCUUCGCAUGAAGUAAGGAGGAAAGGCGGCCUUAGCGCUGUCGAUACAAGAUGGGUCCGCGUCUGAUUAGCUAGUUGGUGAGGUAAAGGCUCACCAAGGCGACGAUCAGUCGCCGGCCUGAGAGGGUGAACGGCCACAUUGGGACUGAGACACGGCCCAAACUCCUACGGGAGGCAGCAGUGGGGAAUCUUCCGCAAUGGGCGAAAGCCUGACGGAGCAAUGCCGCGUGAGUGAAGAAGGCCUUCGGGUUGUAAAACUCUGUCCUUAUCGAAGAGAGAGUGUUGUAGUAACUGACAAUACUAGGACGGUAGAUGAGGAGGAAGCCCCGGCUAACUAUGU
RNAcentral lists this ribosomal RNA (510 nucleotides) under uncultured bacterium. RNAcentral's name for it is "partial 16S ribosomal RNA". It matches the Rfam family "Bacterial small subunit ribosomal RNA", at positions 28 to 506 of the family's 1533-position model. The record is from RNAcentral.